AUCCUGGCUCAGGAUGAACGCUAGCGGCAGGCUUAAUACAUGCAAGUCGAGGGCGGUAGCAAUACCGACCGGCGAACGGGUGCGUAACACGUGAGCAACCUACCUCGUUGCGGGGGAUAGCCGGCCCAACGGCCGGGUAAUACCGCAUACGCUUCUCUGGAGGAGUCUCUGGAGAAAGAAACCCUUUGGGGGCAAUGAGAGGGGCUCGCGGCCUAUCAGCUAGUUGGCGAGGUAACGGCUCACCAAGGCGAUGACGGGUAGCUGGUCUGAGAGGAUGGCCAGCCACAUUGGGACUGAGAGACGGCCCAGACUCCUACGGGAGGCAGCAGAUCU
Molecule: ribosomal RNA, 333 nt
Filed under: uncultured Gemmatimonadota bacterium
Lineage: Bacteria; Pseudomonadati; Gemmatimonadota
Description: bacterial SSU rRNA
Rfam family: Bacterial small subunit ribosomal RNA
Source: RNAcentral